Molecule: ribosomal RNA, 469 nt
Filed under: uncultured bacterium
Lineage: Bacteria
Description: bacterial SSU rRNA
Rfam family: Bacterial small subunit ribosomal RNA
Source: RNAcentral
AUUGAACGCUGGCGGCAUGCCUUACACAUGCAAGUCGAACGGCAGCACGGGAGCAAUCCUGGUGGCGAGUGGCGAACGGGUGAGUAAUAUAUCGGAACGUGCCCAGUCGUGGGGAUAACGUAGCGAAAGCUACGCUAAUACCGCAUACGAUCUAUGGAUGAAAGCGGGGGAUCGCAAGACCUCGCGCGAUUGGAGCGGCCGAUAUCAGAUUAGGUAGUUGGUGAGGUAAAGGCUCACCAAGCCGACGAUCUGUAGCUGGUCUGAGAGGACGACCAGCCACACUGGGACUGAGACACGGCCCAGACUCCUACGGGAGGCAGCAGUGGGGAAUUUUGGACAAUGGGCGCAAGCCUGAUCCAGCCAUGCCGCGUGCAGGAUGACGGUCCUAUGGAUUGUAAACUGCUUUUGUACAGGAAGAAACACUACUUCGUGAAGUAGCUUGACGGUACUGUAAGAAUAAGGAUCGGCU